RNAcentral lists this ribosomal RNA (250 nucleotides) under uncultured bacterium. Its description in RNAcentral is "partial 16S ribosomal RNA". It matches the Rfam family "Bacterial small subunit ribosomal RNA", at positions 524 to 773 of the family's 1533-position model. The record is from RNAcentral.
UACGAAGGGUGCAAGCAUUACUCAGAAUUACUAAACGUAAAGCGUGCGUAGGUGGUUCGUUAAGUCAGAUGUGAAAGCCCCGGGCUCAACCUGGGAAUUGCAUUUGAUACUGGCGGGCUAGAGUGCGGUAGAGGAGAGUGGAAUUCCCGGUGUAGCAGUGAAAUGCGUAGAGAUCGGGAGGAACAUCAGUUGCGAAGGCGGCUCUCUGGACCAGCACUGACACUGAGGCACGAAAGCGUGGGGAGCAAAC